UUGGAUUCAACGCCGGAAAUCUCACCGGGGCGACAGCAAUAUGAAGGUCAGGCUGAAGACUUACCCGAUUAGCUGAGAGGUGGUGCAUGGCCGUCGUCAGUUCGUACUGUGAAGCAUCCUGUUAAGUCAGGCAACGAGCGAGACCCACGUCCACAGUUGCCAGCAUACCCUCCGGGGUGAUGGGUACACUGUGGAGACCGCCGCUGCUAAAGCGGAGGAAGGAGUGGGCAACGGUAGGUCAGUAUGCCCCGAAUCUCCCGGGCUACACGCGGGCUACAAUGGUUGGUACAAUGGGCAUCUACCCCGAAAGGGGAAGGAAAUCUCUUAAAGCCAAUCGUAGUUCGGAUUGAGGGCUGCAACUCGCCCUCAUGAAGCUGGAAUCCGUAGUAAUCGCGUUUCAACAGAACGCGGUGAAUACGUCCCUGCUCCUU
RNAcentral lists this ribosomal RNA (431 nucleotides) under uncultured Methanosaeta sp. RNAcentral's name for it is "bacterial SSU rRNA". It matches the Rfam family "Archaeal small subunit ribosomal RNA", at positions 906 to 1338 of the family's 1478-position model. The record is from RNAcentral. Lineage: Archaea; Methanobacteriati; Methanobacteriota; Methanomicrobia; Methanotrichales; Methanotrichaceae.